AUUGAACGCUGGCGGCAUGCUUUACACAUGCAAGUCGAACGGUAACAGGUUAAGCUGACGAGUGGCGAACGGGUGAGUAAUGCAUCGGAACGUGCCCGGUCGUGGGGGAUAACACUUCGAAAGAAGUGCUAAUACCGCAUACGAUCUGAGGAUGAAAGCGGGGGACCGUAAGGCCUCGCGCGAUCGGAGCGGCCGAUGUCAGAUUAGGUAGUUGGUGGGGUAAAGGCCUACCAAGCCGACGAUCUGUAGCUGGUCUGAGAGGACGACCAGCCACACUGGGACUGAGACGCGGCCCAGACUCCUACGGGAGGAAGCAGUGGGGAAUUUUGGACAAUGGGCGCAAGCCUGAUCCAGCAAUGCCGCGUGCAGGAAGAAGGCCUUCGGGUUGUAAACUGCUUUUGUACGGAGCGAAAAGGCUCUCUCUAAUACAGGGGGCUGAUGACGGUACCGUAAGAAUAAGCACCGGCUAACUACGUGCCAGCCGCCGCCGUAA
RNAcentral lists this ribosomal RNA (493 nucleotides) under uncultured bacterium. Its description in RNAcentral is "partial 16S ribosomal RNA". It matches the Rfam family "Bacterial small subunit ribosomal RNA", at positions 30 to 523 of the family's 1533-position model. The record is from RNAcentral.